GACGAACGCUGGCGGCGUGCUUAACACAUGCAAGUCGAACGGAAGGGCCCUGCUUUUGUGGGGUGCUCGAGUGGCGAACGGGUGAGUAACACGUGAGUAACCUGCCCUGGACUUUGGGAUAACUUCAGGAAACUGGGGCUAAUACCGGAUAGGAGCUCCUGCUGCAUGGUGGGGGUUGGAAAGUUUCGGCGGUUGGGGAUGGACUCGCGGCUUAUCAGCUUGUUGGUGGGGUAGUGGCUUACCAAGGCUUUGACGGGUAGCCGGCCUGAGAGGGUGACCGGCCACAUUGGGACUGAGAUACGGCCCAGACUCCUACGGGAGGCAGCAGUGGGGAAUAUUGCCCAAUGGGCGGAAGCCUGAUGCAGCAACGCCGCGUGCGGGAUGACGGCCUUCGGGUUGUAAACCGCUUUCGCCUGUGACGAAGCGUGAGUGACGGUAAUGGGUAAAGAAGCACCGGCUAACUACGUG
RNAcentral lists this ribosomal RNA (468 nucleotides) under uncultured bacterium. RNAcentral's name for it is "partial 16S ribosomal RNA". It matches the Rfam family "Bacterial small subunit ribosomal RNA", at positions 28 to 507 of the family's 1533-position model. The record is from RNAcentral.